RNAcentral lists this ribosomal RNA (435 nucleotides) under uncultured bacterium. RNAcentral's name for it is "bacterial SSU rRNA". It matches the Rfam family "Bacterial small subunit ribosomal RNA", at positions 957 to 1393 of the family's 1533-position model. The record is from RNAcentral.
UAACGCGAAGAACCUUACCAAGGCUUGACAUACACCGGAAAAGUGCAGAGAUGUGCUCCCCGCAAGGUCGGUGUACAGGUGGUGCAUGGUUGUCGUCAGCUCGUGUCGUGAGAUGUUGGGUUAAGUCCCGCAACGAGCGCAACCCUCGUCCUAUGUUGCCAGCACGUAAUGGUGGGAACUCAUGGGAUACUGCCGGGGUCAACUCGGAGGAAGGUGGGGAUGAGGUCAAAUCAUCAUGCCCCUUAUGUCUUGGGCUUCACGCAUGCUACAAUGGCCGGUACAAUGGGCUGCGAUACCGCAAGGUGGAGCGAAUCCCAAAAAGCCGGUCUCAGUUCGGAUUGAGGUCUGCAACUCGACCUCAUGAAGUCGGAGUCGCUAGUAAUCGCAGAUCAGCAACGCUGCGGUGAAUACGUUCCCGGGUCUUGUACACACCGA